This 447-nucleotide ribosomal RNA is filed under the name uncultured bacterium. RNAcentral's name for it is "partial 16S ribosomal RNA". It matches the Rfam family "Bacterial small subunit ribosomal RNA", at positions 29 to 523 of the family's 1533-position model. The record is from RNAcentral.
AGCGAACGCUGGCGGCAGGCUUAACACAUGCAAGUCGAACGCCCCGCAAGGGGAGUGGCAGACGGGUGAGUAACACGUGGGAACGUACCCUUUGGUUCGGAAUAACUGGGGGAAACUACAGCUAAUACCGGAUAAGCCCUUAUGGGGAAAGGUUUACUGCCGAAGGAUCGGCCCGCGUCUGAUUAGCUAGUUGGUGAGGUAAUGGCUCACCAAGGCGACGAUCAGUAGCUGGUCUGAGAGGAUGAUCAGCCACACUGGGACUGAGACACGGCCCAGACUCCUACGGGAGGCAGCAGUGGGGAAUAUUGGACAAUGGGGGCAACCCUGAUCCAGCCAUGCCGCGUGAGUGAUGAAGGCCUUAGGGUUGUAAAGCUCUUUUACCCGGGACGAUAAUGACUGUACCGGGAGAAUAAGCCCCGGCUAACUUCGUGCCAGCAGCCGCGGUAA